AUGUUGUAUACAUUUCAAAUUUUACAUCAUCAGUCCAAUGCCAAAGAAUGUGAUCAGAAUGCUUCCAACAAUAUGUAUCAUUUUAAUUACUGGCUCCUAUGCGGAAAUCCCAGAAUUCAUUGCAUAGAUUGUCUUUUUUUUUGGUUGGGUCGGUUACUUCUCCAUUUUAGAUCAACAGGAGAGAGCGAGUGCCCCAUGGGUUGCUUAUCUAGCCUAUGAAAAGUAUUUCAAGUAGUGUUAAACCUGUAUCAUACGAUCAAAGUAGAGCUCUCCAAGUGGCGUGGCGUUCAAAGAUUGUCGGGCCGACAAUCUUCGAGGGCAACGGAGGGUCGUUUGACCCCACAUGACGCCACUUUAAGAGCUCUACUUUUAUCGAAUAAAACAGGCUUUAACCGUCGAAAGAAGAUAAAAAACUCGUGGCUUUCAAUGAUAAAACUGACAGCCUUGCAAUGAAAAUCUGUAGUAGUUCAUUUCAUUGACACAAUAGUCAACGCCGGAAGUAAGUCGAGGUGUGAGAGAAAAGGCAAGUGCCCCCAGCUAGUGACGCCUGCACCGAGCAUAACCGAAUUUCAUUAAAGCGCCUUGGUGCAACUAUUCGGGCACCGUGGAUGUCCGUGUUGCAUACCCACGAAAGUGAAGGGGUUUUGAGUCUCCAGGCACUUACCGCUUCGUACUUAGAUCGCGUUUAGCAGAAAGGAACUUUGUAAGCCGCAUGAGCGGUUGCCGAAUUCAACGGGGAAAUUUAUUCAUAUGCGUUAUUUCAUAUCCAUCCGUAUGCACCACGGACGUCUAUGCUGCCGCACUAAGGAAAAACGCCGUAUGAACAUUCGAGACUUGCCAAAUUUCCUCCGACAAAAUGUUUAUUUUCGAGGAGAGUUACGAAUAUUUUCUCUCGAAAGCUUCGGAUAAUUUAGAUCUGGUCGCGAAUAAAAUUCUCUGAAAAAACCGAAGAAAACUGUUCAUAGAACUCCCUGAAAAUUAAUGUUUUAUACAUUGAUAUUUGGCAACGUCUGAAGGCUCAUACGGCGCUCUUCCUUAGCACGGCAGCAUGGAGCCCGAAUAGUUGUAUCCUGUAGUCUGAAAAAUUAGUCCAGUGUUCGUCUCAUGCGGCGCCGCUAACUGAGGACGCUAUGCUUUUCUCUCACCUCUUAACUUGAUUCCAGCGUUGCCUAUUGUGAUAUAUAUCAUUACUGAUUUUCAUAGCGACGUUGUGAAUUUUCUGAGAAAUGCAUUGAUUGUUUAAAUGUAUCGCAACGUUGCCGUCCCUUGAAAUUGCAAAAAAAUGAGGCAUCUGACCAUGAUUGGUAGAGUUAUACCUGCACUACCAUGCUAAGGAAAAACGCCGUAUGAAAAUUCGAGAGUUGCCAAAUUUCCCUUGAUAAAGCAUGUAUUUUUGACCACAUUCAUGCAUAUUUUUUCUUGAAAUUUUCAGAUAUUUUAGAUUAAUUGCGUGCAAAAUUGUUUAAAAUUUCUGGAACAUAAUAUUCACAAUUUUCUCAGUAAUUUCGGAUUUAAUCGGAGGAAACUUGGCAACGUCUGAAAGCUCAUACGGCGUUCUUCUUUAUGCCGCAAUCACACGCUGAAUGUGGGAGCUGAAUGUGGAAGUCAUCGGCCCGAUGCCUGAAUUUUGCGCGUGACGCGCAAAUUCAGCAACGAUUCUCAGCGACCAUCGGAUAAUGUCGGAUUAGUCUGAACUAUUCGAAUAGAUUUAAUACACAUUUGGAUAAAAUAACUCGAAUUAGUGAAAUUUCAGCUGUUGAGCGCUGACUGUGGACUGCCACAUUCAGCUGCCGAAUUCAGCGUGUGAUUGCGGCAUUAGAGCGUCUGUGUAAUCCACCUUAAGAAUUCGUCCUUUGUUUGGAUUCAUUUUCUUUUAGGCAAUAUACCUACGUAUGACGUUCAGGUACGAAAUUUUCAAACUUUAACAGUUAAUGCUACUACCCAAGUAGCAUUGUCAUCUACUUUCUAGGUGGCGCUCAUCAAGAAAAUGUCUACUUCCUCGAUAGAACAAUUUUCUUGAAAGAAAUAUGUAUAAAGUAGAUCUAGAAAAUAGACACAAGAAAAUAGAGAGAAAAUACAUUUUUUCCUCGCAUUUUCUUAAAAGAAAACAUUAAGAAAUUGGCUAGAAAAUAAUUCUACUUUCAAUAAAUUUUCUAUCAUUUUUCCAAAUGGAAAGUUGACAAAAAGUAGACCUAUGAAAUAGAUCUAUUUUCUUUGGUCAGACUUUUGACUCGCAAUGUUUUUUCUUUCUAUUUUCUAGAUAACUCUCAUUUUCUUGGUACUUUCUAGAAGUUUUCUUGAUAUUUUUUUUCUAGGAAAAAAUUCCAUUUUGCUACUUGGGUAGGGAUCUACAAUUUAAUACUACUACUUGGACAUAGACCUGUUUCAUCAGCCAUUGCCAAAUUUAAUUCGGCAAUUUAAUUUUUUUACAAGAGAACGUUUUUGCGGAUUCCUUUGAAAAUUUUCCGGGAUUUGCUUCGGACUAUGCAGAAAAUUCACUGAAAUUUGCACAAAAAUCCGCAAACCUGUUUCCAUGUAAAAAAUUAAAUCGCCUA
RNAcentral lists this long non-coding RNA (2555 nucleotides) under Bemisia tabaci. Its description in RNAcentral is "lncRNA ENSSSA3NGG004215". The record is from RNAcentral. Lineage: Eukaryota; Metazoa; Arthropoda; Insecta; Hemiptera; Aleyrodidae.